CAACUGGGAUUGCCCUAGUAACGGCGAGUGAAGCGGCAACAGCUCAAAUUUGAAAUCUGGCCUCUCUCGGGGUCCGAGUUGUAAUUUGCAGAGGGUGCUUUGGCGUAGGUAGCGGUCUAAGUUCCUUGGAACAGGACGUCGCAGAGGGUGAGAAUCCCGUAUGUGAUCGCCUACCUUCGCCGUGUAAAGCCCCUUCGACGAGUCGAGUUGUUUGGGAAUGCAGCUCUAAAUGGGAGGUAAAUUUCUUCUAAAGCUAAAUACCGGCCAGAGACCGAUAGCGCACAAGUAGAGUGAUCGAAAGAUGAAAAGCACUUUGGAAAGAGAGUCAAAUAGCACGUGAAAUUGUUGAAAGGGAAGCGCUUGCAGUCAGACUUGCCCGCAGUUGCUCACCCCGGCUCUUGCCUGGGGCACUCUUCUGUGGGCAGGCCAGCAUCAGUUCGGGCGACCGGAUAAAGGCCUCUGUCAUGUAUCUUCCUCCGGGAUGACCUUAUAGGGGAGGUGUAAUGCGGCCAGCCCGGACUGAGGUCCGCGCUUUUGCUAGGAUGCUGGCGUAAUGGCUGUAAGCGGCCCGUCUUGAAACACGGACCAAGGAGUCUAACAUCUAUGCGAGUGUUUGGGUGUCAAGCCCGGACGCGCAAUGAAAGUGAACGGAGGUGGGAACCCCUCGGGGUGCACCAUCGACCGAUCCUGAUGUCUUCGGAUGGAUUUGAGUAAGAGCAUAGCUGUUGGGACCCGAAAGAUGGUGAACUAUGCUUGAAUAGGGUGAAGCCAGAGGAAACUCUGGUGGAGGCUCGCAGCGGUUCUGACGUGCAAAUCGAUCGUCAAAUUU
This 829-nucleotide ribosomal RNA is filed under the name Neobambusicola strelitziae. RNAcentral describes it as "eukaryotic LSU rRNA". It matches the Rfam family "Eukaryotic large subunit ribosomal RNA", at positions 66 to 912 of the family's 3401-position model. Lineage: Eukaryota; Fungi; Ascomycota; Dothideomycetes; Pleosporales; Bambusicolaceae. The record is from RNAcentral.